This 582-nucleotide ribosomal RNA is filed under the name uncultured fungus. RNAcentral's name for it is "SSU rRNA". It matches the Rfam family "Eukaryotic small subunit ribosomal RNA". The record is from RNAcentral. Lineage: Eukaryota; Fungi.
AUAAGGAUUGACAGAUUGAGAGCUCUUUCUUGAUUUUGUGGGUGGUGGUGCAUGGCCGUUCUUAGUUGGUGGAGUGAUUUGUCUGCUUAAUUGCGAUAACGAACGAGACCUUAGCCUGCUAAAUAGCCCGGCCCGCUUUGGCGGGUCGCCGGCUUCUUAGAGGGACUAUCGGCUCAAGCCGAUGGAAGUCUGAGGCAAUAACAGGUCUGUGAUGCCCUUAGAUGUUCUGGGCCGCACGCGCGCUACACUGACAGAGCCAACGAGUUCAUCACCUUGUCCGAAAGGUUUGGGUAAUCUUGUUAAACUCUGUUCGUGCUGGGGGAUAGAGCAUUGCACANUAUUGGUNUUCAAACGAGGGAUGCCUAGUAAGNGCAAGUCAUCAGNCUGCGKUGAUUACGUCCCUGCCCUUUGUACACACCGCCCGUCGCUACUACCGAUUGAAUGGCUCAGUGAGGCCUUCGGACUGGCCCAGGGAGGUYGGCAACGACCACCCAGAGCCGGAAAGUUGGUCAAACUCGGUCAUUUAGAGGAUGUAAAAGUCGUAACAAGGUUUCCGUAGGUGAACCUGCGGAAGGAUCAUUA